Molecule: unclassified non-coding RNA, 212 nt
Filed under: Paraglomus occultum
Lineage: Eukaryota; Fungi; Glomeromycota; Glomeromycetes; Paraglomerales; Paraglomeraceae
Description: partial contains 5.8S ribosomal RNA and internal transcribed spacer 2
Rfam family: 5.8S ribosomal RNA (bases 1-65)
Source: RNAcentral
GUGAAUCAUCAAAUUUUUGAACGCAAAUUGCGCCUUUUUCGGAAGGCAUGUCUGUUUGAGGGCACCAUUUAACAAAUAAUGUGCAUUUCGUGCGCACGCGUUGGUGCGUUUCCAAUAUAUGUGUUUUUUUUUUUGUGGCAUAUUAAAAAGAGCGAGACGUUUUUUUUGUGCUCGUGUAUAGUAAUAUUUUUUUUUGUUGGGGUUGUGAAGCG